Quercus lobata is the source of this 792-nucleotide long non-coding RNA. RefSeq lists it as uncharacterized. The record is from RefSeq and is a predicted model, not a curated record. NCBI's taxonomy places the organism in Eukaryota, Viridiplantae, Streptophyta, Magnoliopsida, Fagales, Fagaceae. The transcript has 4 exons.
UUUCUCCCUUUCAUACCCACGAGUCCAACACCAAAAGAAAGAAAAGCUCUCUACUCUUCUCUCCCUCUCACACCUAUGGGUCCAUCAGCAAGAAGGAAGCUUCUUUCAACUCUCUCAAGCUUUCUACCUCUCAUACUUUUGGGUCCAGCCACUAGGAAAGGGAAAUCCUUUCAUGCAAGAGUUAUUCUAUGUAUAUUUCCCUCAAGAACCAUAAACUUGGUGUUACCAGCCCCAGGUCUGAGCUCCUUCGACUUUAGGCUCUUAGUUCCUCUGCUUUCAGUAGGGGUCUAAUUACUGGCUUUGCAUGGAAAAUGUUAUCUGAUUGGCCAUUAAAAGUGGGACUGGCUCUGCUAUACCCGCCCUUGUUGGUAACGGCCAACUUGUGGAGGAUGCCAACCUAUCCUCAUGGUUGAAGACAUGUAUUAUGAUGUGAUCCCGAGAAUACCUAGCAUUGUGGGGAAUGCUGGAUGCCUAGCACAGUGGUACUAGAAGCCUCCUAAAUAAGUACAGACUUAUCAGAUAUGGACUAACCAAUAUGCUAUGAACAGUCAACAGGUUUUAUUUUGGAGCAAAGGGAGCCCUAGUCGAGUUUUGGAAUAAGCUAGUUUUAGUUUUAAUGUAUAGAUCCCAAAUUAGCAUUUGAUGUUUAGCCUUGUAGUAUUGUGUAUUUUAGGAUUUAAUGAAAGUUGUGUACCUUAAAGUAUUAAGAGAUAUUUUAUGUGAAGUUUAGAAUUUGAGUAACUGGUGGAUUAUGUUAUUCUUUGAGUACAGUGUAGAUGCUCUAAAUGUCAA